CUGCUCUGUAUGAUGACUGACUAAAUUACUUAUAUAUCUAAUCUUAUCUAGUUAUCUGUCUGUCUGUUUUUCAGCAUUUCAGUACCCAUCACCAUAUUAUCUAGGCGCCACCAUGAGAUUAAGAAGCUCUGCCGUGACAUUCUCAGCAUGAUCUGUUCAAAGGUCAUUAGCAGAGCCUUUCGUACUGGAAAAGAUUGCAGGACAGUACUGAAGUGAGCCGCAGAAGGAGAGAAAAAGGAAAAGGAGGCGAAAAGUUAUUUCACCAGCUUUUGCCAAUGGUACUGUGGUCACUGCUCAAGGGGAAAUUUCCCUCUAUGGCUGCUUACUCACAGGAGUAAGUCACUAAACCUGAUCCCACCGUGACUGCUCCUGUUCGCACGGAAUCAGUGGCUGUGAAGGGAUGACUCAGAGGGCAGAACGGGAUAUAAUGGGCCACACAUGGGCAUUCCAGAAGAGUGUGUUCUCUCCAGUGCUAAUUAAUUUUCUGCUCUGCAAAAUACUUAACAACACAAAACACUGACGGCAAAGUCCCACCACAAGCUCUACCAAGUCGCUUUAGAAAAGAAGCUCAAGACACCUUGGUAGAAGACAGCCGAGACGUACCAAGUACUGCUUUCAGUCAACAGAAUCUUAUUUGUAAUGGGAAACUAUAUCAAUAUUUGGAGCUGAGCCACUGUUUGGACAGGGAUUUUCCAAUUCCCCCACUGUGAUUAGAAAAGGUAUUUGGAAUCUUUUGUCUACUUUAGUGCUUGGAGUUUUUUCAGAUUAAUUUCCAAACUAUUUUUUUCCAGCCUAUUUUUCAGAUUCAUUUCCAAACGAUUUUUUUGCAGCCUAUUUUUUUUAGGUAAUGUUUUAAUUACAGGGGCUUUUUCAUAUGCUUGUUUAUAAAGUGGGGUACUUAAUGACCUCCAAGCAUUUACUAGUGCUACAAAGCUCCUAAAAUGUAAGUUAUGUGGGUAAUACAAGAUUAAGAAUGCAGGGUUAGGGAAUUCUAACUCUUUCACAGAUUCCUUCUGAGACUAGUGUAAAAUUGGAGCAUUUACAUCCUUAAUUUUCCUGUCCGUAACUGCAUCUUUCUGACAAAAACUCAUUGCUGCACAAGUUUCCUUCUGAACAAAAAGUCUGUAAUCCUAAUUAAGAGAUACAUUGGAAUACAUCAGUAGUUUAAACAUCAUUCUUCAAAUUGCAGCAACACUGCACUGGAUCUCCUGAACUGUGGCAGGCAAAGUUUAAGGACGGGGAUUAGCUCACUCAUGCCCGAUAGAGCUCUAUCUCCAAAACUGGACUAUUAUUUAAACAAAUAUAAAUACCUUUAGUACAUCUUAUCUUUCAAUCUACCCCGACUUCCAGCCCCCACAAACUGAAUUUUGUUGCAAGCUUUGUCAUUUAUAAAGAAAUAAAGAAAGAAAUGUAUCUGAGGACA
Molecule: long non-coding RNA, 1423 nt
Filed under: Athene cunicularia (burrowing owl)
Lineage: Eukaryota; Metazoa; Chordata; Aves; Strigiformes; Strigidae
Description: lncRNA (ENSACUG00000011183.1)
Source: RNAcentral